UAACACAGCCAUAUCACCCUGCAGCCCAAGACUGGUCACCCACUGAAGCUGAGCAGGGUUGAGCCUGGUCAGUACCUGGAUGGGAGACUCCUGGGAAAACUAGGUUGCUGCUGGAA
Molecule: ribosomal RNA, 116 nt
Filed under: Sinocyclocheilus grahami
Lineage: Eukaryota; Metazoa; Chordata; Actinopteri; Cypriniformes; Cyprinidae
Source: RNAcentral